GCUCUCAUUUUAGUUUCAGGAAAGUUUCUUUGAGGUUCACAUUAAUGAUGCCACCAGGAGAAACUGUUUCUGACUACAGGUUCAGUCUUUGAAGCUCUUUUGGACUGAAACACCCCACCGGCCCUCUUCCAGAUACAAACGUGCGAGUAAGCCAUUUUUCUGCAAGAAAACCUUUUAUGGGAAUGAGUUCGGCCAUUAACAAAUACCUUACGUUACAGAUUUCCAACUUCAACUGUUUCAGCUACUUAAGUGUUAUAAUGCGAAAGCAGCUAAGGAC
Pezoporus flaviventris is the source of this 277-nucleotide long non-coding RNA. RefSeq lists it as uncharacterized. The record is from RefSeq and is a predicted model, not a curated record. The transcript has 3 exons. NCBI's taxonomy places the organism in Eukaryota, Metazoa, Chordata, Aves, Psittaciformes, Psittacidae.